UUUAUGAAUAUGUCUAGUCGCGCCCCUAAUUAGAUGAAUAAAUUUAUAGAUUUUAAUGUAUUCUCAAUAUAAAUGUAUAUUUCUCUUAAAUUAAUUAUUCUACAUGGACUUUAUUAUUUAUUCACUUUUGUUGGGCUGAAAAUUUAAUAAAAGCCCAUAGCAAUUUUAUUUUCACCAAUUCAUUUUCACUAUUCUUAAUUUGAGAUAGCAACGUGUUUCCUUCCGUUUAGCCACAAUUUGAUUUACUACUCAAGCCACUUAUUUAUUUAACCUUGAAUAGCAUGUACUCUUAUUUAUUAAGUAACCAAAUUAUUAUAUAUCAAAGAUUUCAUAUUAUUUAUCUUCACUGUUCUUUUUUUUUUAAAUUCCUUUUCAAAAUGAAAAUGUGCAAAAAAUCCCAUUUAUCCAACCACAACCGCCAUACUCCUCUUUAUCCCCAUUUAUCACCGCCAUACAUUUUUAUACAUAUAUCAGAUUCAUUCACCUAUAGUAUAUCAUUUCAUCCUUUUUCUACAUCUACAUCUCUAAUUUGCAAAACGUAAACUUAUCCAGCAAGAAAAUCAAGUUCUUUCCUUCCACUGUAGAGGUGUGGCGCGACUAGGACAUGGAUUUUAGUUUGAAUUAUCAGAAUUAACUUUCAAGUUCAAGUUCAAGUUCAAAAUUCAGGUUUUAAAGACCGGAGGCGCGUGGAAGGUCGAAUGGCGAAUCAAAUAUUUUGAAUUUAGUUUUACUUAAAAAUGUUAUGUUUAGUAAAGUAUUUUAAAACAAGAUAUUUAUUUCACUAUUUUCUCGUUAAAUAUUUAUUUAUAGUCAUGAUUUUCCGCGUGCGUUUUCUUUUAAAAUUAAAAUGGAUUUGGGUGUCACAAGGUGGUAUCAGAGCCGAACCUCUCCCAGUACGGUGUGGUUCGGGGACGAACCAAGCGGAAGCUGGUGGGCCUGUGACGCCCGGGGACGAAGUACGGAGUGAUCGCCGGUGCAAAGAGGCACGGACAAAGAGCGGCUCCGGUUAAGACUUCCAAGCGGAGGGGCGCAGGGAUGAACCGGAACACACCCGAACGAGAGGGAUUCCGAGAAUAUGCAGGUAUGGGACUGCAUAUUCGAGGAGAGCUUAAAGGAUUUGAUUGGGCUACUCAUAUCAAUAAGAUGCAUCUUCUU
Long non-coding RNA from Salvia miltiorrhiza (redroot sage), 1155 nucleotides. RefSeq lists it as uncharacterized. Lineage: Eukaryota; Viridiplantae; Streptophyta; Magnoliopsida; Lamiales; Lamiaceae. The record is from RefSeq and is a predicted model, not a curated record. The transcript is spliced from 4 exons.